Molecule: ribosomal RNA, 242 nt
Filed under: Clostridioides difficile
Lineage: Bacteria; Bacillati; Bacillota; Clostridia; Peptostreptococcales; Peptostreptococcaceae
Description: partial 16S ribosomal RNA
Rfam family: Bacterial small subunit ribosomal RNA
Source: RNAcentral
GAGGGUGAUCGGCCACAUUGGAACUGAGACACGGUCCAAACUCCUACGGGAGGCAGCAGUGGGGAAUAUUGCACAAUGGGCGAAAGCCUGAUGCAGCAACGCCGCGUGCGUGAUGAAGGCCUUCGGGUCGUAAAACUCUGUCCUCAAGGAAGAUAAUGACGGUACUUGAGGAGGAAGCCCCGGCUAACUACGUGCAAGCAGCCGCGGUAAUACGUAGGGGGUUAGCGUUAUCCGGAUUUACU